AUGCCGGAGGAGCGGCGGCCGAAGCUUUCUGACGCCGGAGGCGGCGAGGACCGUCUCAGUGCAUUGCACGACGACGCCCUCAUCCAGAUCCUCCUCAAGCUCCGUUGCCUCGCUACAGCCGCCUGGACCAGCGUCCUCUGCCGCCGUUGGCGCCACCUUUGGGCCCUCCUCCCGAAGCUGCACUUCUACAACGCGACAGACCCCCGCCGCAUACGCUCCGCCCUCGCCGCCCACGAGGCCCCGACGCUCCAGGAGCUCGUCGUCGUCCAGCAGGACGCCUCUUUCGGGCCCACAGGGGCGUGGCUCCCCAUCGCCGCGUGCCGCCUCUCCGGCUUACUGUUUUGCCACUAUCUGUCAACAGAGGGUCAGGGCUAG
Molecule: ribosomal RNA, 375 nt
Filed under: Triticum aestivum (bread wheat)
Lineage: Eukaryota; Viridiplantae; Streptophyta; Magnoliopsida; Poales; Poaceae
Description: partial small subunit ribosomal RNA
Source: RNAcentral